UAAGGAAUAUUGGUCAAUGGACGCAAGUCUGAACCAGCCAUGCCGCGUGAAGGAUGAAGGUCCUCUGGAUUGUAAACUUCUUUUAUCUGGGACGAAAACGGGAUUUUUAUCUCAAUUGACGGUACCAGAGGAAUAAGCACCGGCUAACUCCGUGCCAGCAGCCGCGGUAAUACGGAGGGUGCGAGCGUUAUCCGGAUUUACUGGGUUUAAAGGGUGCGUAGGUGGGCUUAUAAGUCAGUGGUGAAAUCUCCGAGCUUAACUUGGAAACUGCCGUUGAUACUAUAGGUCUUGAAUUAUCUGGAGGUAAACGGAAUAUGUCAUGUAGCGGUGAAAUGCUUAGAUAUGACAUAGAACACCAAUUGCGAAGGCAGCUUACUACAUAUAAAUUGACGCUGAGGCACGAAAGCGUGGGGAUCAAACA
This 421-nucleotide ribosomal RNA is filed under the name uncultured bacterium. Its description in RNAcentral is "bacterial SSU rRNA". It matches the Rfam family "Bacterial small subunit ribosomal RNA", at positions 355 to 774 of the family's 1533-position model. The record is from RNAcentral.